CCUACGGGUGGCUGCAGUGGGGAAUAUUGCACAAUGGGCGAAACCCUGAUGCAGCGACGCCGCGUGAGUGAAGAAGUAAUUCGUUAUGUAAAGCUCUAUUAGUAGGGAAGAAAAUGACGGUACCUGAGAAAGUAGCCCCGGCUAACUACGUGACAGCACCCGUGGUAAUACGUAGGGGGCAAGCGUUAUCCGGAUUUACUGGGCGUAAAGGGAGUGUAGGUGGACUUUUAAGUGAGAUGUGAAAUGCUCGGGCUCAACUUGAGUGCUGCAUUGCAAACUGGAAGCCUAGAGUGCAGGAGAGGAGAGUGGAAUUCGUGGUGUAGCGGUGAAAUGCGUAGAGAUUAGGAAGAACACCGGUGGCGAAGGCGGUUCUCUGGACUGUAACUGACGCUGAGGCUCGAAAGCGUGGGGAGCAAACAGGAUUAGAUACCCGAGUAGUC
Molecule: ribosomal RNA, 440 nt
Filed under: uncultured bacterium
Lineage: Bacteria
Description: partial 16S ribosomal RNA
Rfam family: Bacterial small subunit ribosomal RNA
Source: RNAcentral